Molecule: long non-coding RNA, 630 nt
Organism: Humulus lupulus (European hop)
Lineage: Eukaryota; Viridiplantae; Streptophyta; Magnoliopsida; Rosales; Cannabaceae
Exons: 4
Source: RefSeq, a predicted model, not a curated record
UAAGCUACCGAUCAUCUCUGCUCUUCUUUCUACAAAUGCUUCAUCCGACCCUCUAUUCUCCCAUUUUUGAAUACUUGAGCCACCAUUAGAACUCUUCUCUGUGUGUGCCGCCGCCUCCUACUUCAAAUCUUUGAGUCGCUGGCUUCUGAAGAAACAUUUGAGCCAACGCCGGUCCUAGCUCGUUUAGAGUUGCCGCUGCCGCCGAUCCUAGCUCAGACAGUCGUUUAGCCUCUGUAACCUCUGACCCUUACGUGAGUAAUACCAGUCGACCUCGGAGUCCCCUUCUUCUUCGUCUCUCUCUGUUCAUUCAACUUGUCACUUGCAAUCCCCUUCUUCUUCGUCAAAUCCCCUUCUGCCGUUUCCAUUGACGAGCUCUGUAAGCCGCCGCCACUGCCUCCAUUUUACUAGCCUAAAGCUGCCUCCGGAGCCACCCAUAACCGCCUUUGUCUCAGUCUUUGUUGAUAACAAUUUUUUACUCUAUACGUUUGUGAAGCAGUGUGCUGGGUCAUGGCUUUGGAUUGCAGUGGCUAGGUUGCAGCUUGGAAUGGCUCGGUAGAUUUUUGUUUGAGGAUCUCCAGGCAGUCGUGAGAGGUUGAUCCCCUACUGGAAAUGAUGUCCCAACAGAGAUCC